RNAcentral lists this ribosomal RNA (138 nucleotides) under uncultured Pelotomaculum sp. Its description in RNAcentral is "partial 16S rRNA". It matches the Rfam family "Bacterial small subunit ribosomal RNA", at positions 355 to 507 of the family's 1533-position model. Lineage: Bacteria; Bacillati; Bacillota; Clostridia; Eubacteriales; Desulfotomaculaceae. The record is from RNAcentral.
UGAGGAAUCUUCCGCAAUGGGCGCAAGCCUGACGGAGCAACGCCGCGUGAGUGAAGAAGGCCUUCGGGUUGUAAAGCUCUGUCUUCAGGGAAGAAGAAAAUGACGGUACCUGAGGAGGAAGCCCCGGCUAACUACGUG